Molecule: ribosomal RNA, 305 nt
Filed under: uncultured bacterium
Lineage: Bacteria
Description: partial 16S ribosomal RNA
Rfam family: Bacterial small subunit ribosomal RNA
Source: RNAcentral
ACAGCAGCCGCCGCGGUAAUACGUAGGGGGCAAGCGUUAUCCGGAAUAACUGGGCGUAAAGGGUGCGCAGGUGGUUUAACAAGUUAGUGGUGAAAGGCAUAGGCUCAACCAAUGUAAGCCAUUAAAACUGUUUAACUUGAGUGCAGGAGAGGAAAGUGGAAUUCCUAGUGUAGCGGUGAAAUGCGUAGAUAUAUGGAGGAACACCGGUGGCGAAGGCGACUCUCUGGUCUGUAACUGACGCUGAGGAGCGAAAGCGUGGGGAGCGAACAGGAUUAGAUACCCCCGUAGUCCCUGUCUCUUAUCAC